This is a long non-coding RNA of Ornithorhynchus anatinus (platypus), 888 nucleotides long. RefSeq lists it as uncharacterized. The record is from RefSeq and is a predicted model, not a curated record. The transcript has 2 exons. NCBI's taxonomy places the organism in Eukaryota, Metazoa, Chordata, Mammalia, Monotremata, Ornithorhynchidae.
CCUUAACGUCUUCGGGCCUCAGUUCUCUCGUCUGUAACGUGGGCGGAAGAUAGCUGCUCUCCCUCCCUCUUAGACGUUUGCCUCGCGUUGGAGCCACCCAAGUUCUUGGCGCGUAUUAAAAGCACCUAAUAAAUAACAGUAUUUGAGCGCUCACUGCAGGCGGAACACCAUCCUGGGCCCAAUAAGAAGCAAAAAACCCAGUCCCUGUCCCCUCUAAUGAGGGAGCCGCGAUGACACAAAUCGAAAAAUACAUACAACAGCCCAAGAGCAAGGAGCGUAGAUACAGGUGAUGAAAUCGAAAGCAAGAAAUUAAACAGUGUGACGUCUGCUCUCUGAGGACCGCGCAGCCCACCUUCUUGUUUCUCCUCUCCCACGGCCCAUCGCCCGGUGGGUCAAGGAGGCAGCGAAGCCCAGUCUCAGCCCACGUGGCGUCACGGCUGCAAACCAGGAGACAACUGAAUGCAGACAGGCUGGUCCUGGCUGCUGCCACUCUAGAAGGGAACAGGAUUUUUCCAGCAGCAGAUUUGAAUGGAUCGUUCGACACCACCUGGCACCACAGAUGGCAAACCCGCCCCCGAACCAGCACUCGAGCUUCACCGGCGGCACCAGUUUGGACUAGGCGGGAUGGCUGCGGGGACAGGUUUUCGGACUCGGUGCGUUCGGGGUCCAGAGGGAAGCCCCGAAGAAGACGGCGCGACAGGUGAGGGAGGGAAGAUGAACAGAACCAAGGCGGGGGGGUCCCGGGGGAAGAGAAAGCCGAGGGCGCAUCUGGCAAGGGACGAUGACCAGCGGUUCCUUCUCCCCGGGGAUCGGGACGAGGAGGAAAUAGACCUAAACUGCGGCGGGAAAUGAGGAACCUAGAUUAAACUGCAGGAGGGGGCCAAGUAA